Molecule: long non-coding RNA, 1199 nt
Organism: Serinus canaria (Common canary)
Lineage: Eukaryota; Metazoa; Chordata; Aves; Passeriformes; Fringillidae
Exons: 2
Source: RefSeq, a predicted model, not a curated record
ACAAGUAGAAAUUUAUUAGUGAUAUUAGAGCAGGACUUGCUGCUAACAGUCAUACAGAUGUAACUUCUGACUUCUCUUAAACCUUAUCUACGAAAUAUUCCUUUUGUGAGAUUGAUCAGUUCUGUAUAGCCAGGAUGGUGUAGGCAGGAUUUGAUUCCCUAGUGGGUCUUAAAUUCUAACAGAAAUUUCCUUGAGAAAGGCAGCCACAUUUUAAAAAUUUAAUUUAAAUUAAUUUCCUGUUGGACUUAUUUUCUAAGCAGUGGGGGUUUAUGUUUAUCUGUUUAAAUCAAGUAAAUAUUUCAAAUUAUUAUCAGCCACGAAGGGAACAUGUCUUGGCCAAAGCUUUCAGGAACUCAACUUGGCUGUGUUUUGUGUGUGACUGAAUUGUGAUCAGACCCAAGUUGAGGUGUCUCUGUGUGCUGGCCAUGCACACUCCAUGAGCAGCCAUACUCAAUGUAGGCCAUGGAGCUCAGAGAAUAACUGAGCUAUUCAUUGUCAGUCUCAGGACAAGCAGAAUCACAACUGAGAUACAGAGGCAUCAGACAGUUGAGUGAGAAUAGUCUGAAAUAAUGGGAUGUGACCAAUGAAAUUACUCUGUCAUCUGAGAUAACCCUGUAUCCCUGCCAUAGGCCAUGGACUGCUUCAUCUCCCACCAGGACAUGAACCUCCCCUGGAAUCAGUCUCUCCACAAGCUUUCUGUCUGCUCUGCUGGAGGAGCUUCUCCACACAGUUCCCUGAUGACAGUUCUCCCUGUGAGGAGGUGGUCACAGCUGACACCUCGGAGAACCCGCACCAUCGGUACCUGGGCUGGAACACGAAUGGUUGGCAGGGCACUCGAGUGGGAUAUGGCUGUGUGUUUCCAGUGACAUGGACCAUGGAUAAGGACAGCCAAGGGCAAAUCACCUGCCUUACUGCACCAAAGAGGCAGAAGUUGGUCCCAACGGGCCUUUCACGCUGCAGGGGUUUGAGUGUCAGCAGUAAUGUAAAUGCAGUCUGAGUGUUAACAGUAAUGUAAAUUUACCUUCUCCUGUAACUCUAUGCACUUCUCCCGGGCUAGCUCUGCUCCUCUUCACUUCCCCAUCUGCCUGGAUUGUCUGUGUUUUCUUUACUCAUAAGGCCACACCACCUGAGAUGCUCACAGGAAACUCGCUGUAAUUAAGAAAUGCAGAUAGUUAAUAAAUGUAAUUUAAAGCAAAUGA